GAAAUGCGAUAAGUAGUGUGAAUUGCAGAAUUCAGUGAAUCAUCGAAUCUUUGAACGCACAUUGCGCCCCUUGGUAUUCCAUGGGGCAUGCCUGUUCGAGCGUCAUUUGUACCCUCAGGCUCUGCUUGGUGUUGGGUGUUUGUCCCGUCUCCGCGCGUGGACUCGCCCCAAAGUGAUUGGCAGCCGGCGUACUGGUCCCGGAGCGCAGCACAUGUCGCGCAAACGAGUGCCUUGGUACGGCGGCGUCCAUAAGCCCCUCUCUCACGCUCUCGACCUCGGAUCAGGUAGGGAUACCCGCUGAACUUAAGC
Molecule: unclassified non-coding RNA, 309 nt
Filed under: plant metagenome
Description: partial contains 5.8S ribosomal RNA, internal transcribed spacer 2, and large subunit ribosomal RNA
Rfam family: 5.8S ribosomal RNA (bases 1-105)
Source: RNAcentral